This 30-nucleotide non-coding RNA is filed under the name Homo sapiens (human). Lineage: Eukaryota; Metazoa; Chordata; Mammalia; Primates; Hominidae. The record is from RNAcentral.
UGAACCUCGCAAUUGUUCAGACUGUGUGGC